This 413-nucleotide ribosomal RNA is filed under the name Methanoculleus sp. enrichment culture. Its description in RNAcentral is "bacterial SSU rRNA". It matches the Rfam family "Archaeal small subunit ribosomal RNA", at positions 330 to 747 of the family's 1478-position model. Lineage: Archaea; Methanobacteriati; Methanobacteriota; Methanomicrobia; Methanomicrobiales; Methanomicrobiaceae. The record is from RNAcentral.
GUGCAGCAGUCGCGAAAACUUUACAAUGCGGGAAACCGUGAUAAGGGAACCCCGAGUGCCUGUAUAUGCAGGCUGUCCAGGUGUCUAAAAAACACCUGAAGAAAGGGCCGGGCAAGACCGGUGCCAGCCGCCGCGGUAAUACCGGCGGCUCGAGUGGUGGCCACUUUUAUUGGGCUUAAAGCGUUCGUAGCUGGGUUGUUAAGUCUCUUGGGAAAUCUGACGGCUCAACCGUCAGGCGUCCAAGGGAUACUGGCAAUCUUGGAACCGGGAGAGGUGAGGGGUACUUCGGGGGUAGGAGUGAAAUCCUGUAAUCCUCGAGGGACCACCUGUGGCGAAGGCGCCUCACCAGAACGGCUUCGACAGUGAGGGACGAAAGCUGGGGGAGCAAACCGGAUUAGAUACCCUCGUAGUCC